RNAcentral lists this ribosomal RNA (279 nucleotides) under uncultured bacterium. RNAcentral's name for it is "partial 16S ribosomal RNA". It matches the Rfam family "Bacterial small subunit ribosomal RNA", at positions 506 to 784 of the family's 1533-position model. The record is from RNAcentral.
UGCCAGCCGCCGCGGUAAUACGUAAGGUGAAAGCGUUAGUCGGAAUUACUGGGCGUAAAGCGCGCGUAGGCGGCUAGAUAAGUCGGGUGUGAAAGCCCCGGGCUCAACCUGGGAACUGCAUUCGAUACUGUCUGGCUAGAGUGUGAUAGAGGGAGGCGGAAUUCCGCAUUUAGCGGUGAAAGGCGUAGAGAUGCGGAGGAACACCAAUGUCGAAGGCAGCCUCCUGGAUCAACACUGACGCUGAGUUUCGACAGCGUGGUGCGCAAACAGUAUUAGCUA